This 22-nucleotide non-coding RNA is filed under the name Arabidopsis thaliana (thale cress). The record is from RNAcentral. Lineage: Eukaryota; Viridiplantae; Streptophyta; Magnoliopsida; Brassicales; Brassicaceae.
CGCUAAUUAGACGCUUAUCCGC